GACGAACGCUGGCGGCGUGCUUAACACAUGCAAGUCGAACGGAAAGGCCCUGCUUUUGUGGGGUGCUCGAGUGCCGAACGGGUGAGUAACACGUGAGUAACCUGCCCUUGACUUUGGGAUAACUUCACGAAACUCGGGCUAAUACCGCAUAGGAGCUCCUGCUGCAUGUUGUGGGUUGGAAAGUUUCGGCGGUUGGGUCUGGACUCGCGGCUUAUCAGCUUGUUGGUGGGGUAGUGGCUUACCAAGGCUUCGACGGCUAGCCGGCAUGAGAGGGUGACCGGGGACAUUGGGACUAAGAUACGGCGCAGACUGCAACGGGAGGCAAAGGUGGGGAAUAUUGCGCAGUAAGCGGAAGCCUGUUGCGACGACCCCGCGUGCGGAAUGAAGGCCUUCGGGUUGUAAACAGAUGUCGCCUGUGACGAAGAGUGAGUGACGGUACUGAAUAAAGAAGCACCGGCUAACUACGUG
RNAcentral lists this ribosomal RNA (468 nucleotides) under uncultured bacterium. RNAcentral describes it as "partial 16S ribosomal RNA". It matches the Rfam family "Bacterial small subunit ribosomal RNA", at positions 28 to 507 of the family's 1533-position model. The record is from RNAcentral.